This 616-nucleotide ribosomal RNA is filed under the name Clostridioides difficile. Its description in RNAcentral is "partial 23S ribosomal RNA". It matches the Rfam family "Bacterial large subunit ribosomal RNA", at positions 2009 to 2623 of the family's 2925-position model. Lineage: Bacteria; Bacillati; Bacillota; Clostridia; Peptostreptococcales; Peptostreptococcaceae. The record is from RNAcentral.
UUGGGCACUGUCUCAACAACAGACUCGGUGAAAUUGUAAUUCCGGUGAAGAUGCCGGAUACCUGCGACAGGACGGAAAGACCCCAUGGAGCUUUACUGUAGCUUGACAUUGGGUCUUGGUACUACAUGUACAGGAUAGGUGGGAGGCUUUGAAACCAGGACGCCAGUUUUGGCGGAGCCAUCCUUGGGAUACCACCCUUGUAGUACUGGGACUCUAACCAUAGGCCAUGAAUCUGGUCUUGGGACACUGUCAGGUGGGCAGUUUGACUGGGGCGGUCGCCUCCCAAAAGGUAACGGAGGCGCUCAAAGGUUCUCUCAGUACGGUCGGAAAUCGUACGUAGAGUGUAAAGGCAAAAGAGAGCUUGAUUGCAAGACAUACAGGUCGAGCAAGGAUGAAAAUCGGACUUAGUGAUCCGGUGGUUCUGCGUGGAAGGGCCAUCGCUCAACGGAUAAAAGCUACCCUGGGGAUAACAGGCUUAUCUCCCCCAAGAGUCCACAUCGACGGGGAGGUUUGGCACCUCGAUGUCGGCUCAUCACAUCCUGGGGCUGUAGUAGGUCCCAAGGGUUGGGCUGUUCGCCCAUUAAAGUGGUACGCGAGCUGGGUUCAGAACGUCGUG